Molecule: long non-coding RNA, 1222 nt
Organism: Mustela erminea (ermine)
Lineage: Eukaryota; Metazoa; Chordata; Mammalia; Carnivora; Mustelidae
Exons: 4
Source: RefSeq, a predicted model, not a curated record
CAUACACGCCCUCACUGAGAGUGCGCAGGCGCAGCUACCGCUCUGCCCUCUGGGAAUUAGAGUCUUGCAGCCUCUGUCCGGGUCGUUGAGUGCUGGGAUCUUGGAUCCAGAAAGAACUACAAAUACCGUGAGGCCAAGCGGUUCAGCUCCCGCGGAGAGGAGGAAGAGGAAGGCAGUAGGAAGGGGGGCAGAAAGGAAGAGUGUCACUCAUGUUGGCUGCCGGGAGUUGUAGUUUUAACUGGAUCGCCUUUGUCGACUUUCCACUUCUGGGGCGCCAGCAAAAGAGAAUGAGAGACCACAUUUCCUAGGAUGCCCUGCGGUGCGUUCAGCCUCACUUCCCCCGUCGGCGGAGAAGAGGAUACGGGGAAGCUUGGUAAAAACAGAAUUAAAGGGAAUGGGUGUCGGAAGCGGAGGGUCUGAACUUCUCGACUCGUAGAAGGGGAGGGGAAUGAAAGGCUCUCAGUAAAGAAGGUACCAAAAUUAUUUCUGAACAACCAGUCUGUCUCAGUUUGUAUUUUGAGGGAAUAAAAAGGAAAAGGGAAUCUUUGGGCACCUUCUGGAGCUUUCAGGUUGUUCCCAAGUUCUGAUGGUCAUAAUCAGCAUUGCUAUAAACAUCUCUAAUCAGGAAUUGAUUUAGAACACUUGUUCUGUAUUCAGAAUAUGAAGGUUAAAAUGAACUGUCCGGACAAAAAUCUGAACAUGGAGCUUCUAACAGCUUUAUUCAUAAGUGGCAAAACAUGGAAGCAAACAAGAUGUCCUUCAGUAGGUGAAUGGAUAAACUGUGGUAAUCCAUACAACAGAAAAUUGUUUAAUGCUAAAAAGAAAUGAGAUAUUAAGCCAUGAAAAGACGGGGGAGAGGCUUUAAUGUAUAUCACUAAUUAAAUGAAGCCAUUCUGAAAAUGUUAUAUACUGUUUGAUUCCAACUAUAUGACAGUCUGGAAAAGGCAAAUCUAUGGAGAUAGUAAAAAGAUCAGUGGAUGCCAGGGGUUGGGAGGAAGGGAGGGAUGAAUAGAGCCAGAGGAUGUCAGGGCAGUGAAACUCUUCUGCAUGAUACUAUAAUGGUGAAAACAUGUUAUUAGACAUUUGUCCAAGCCCAUGGAAUAUGUAAUAAUGAGAGUGAACCCUAGUGUAAAUUACAGACUUUGAAUGACAACAAUGUGUCAAUGUAGGUUCAUCCAUAACCAGGGAAGUACCACUCUGGUUGGGGAGGGUGUGUAUGUGU